This 71-nucleotide transfer RNA is filed under the name Reinwardtoena reinwardtii. Its description in RNAcentral is "tRNA-Val". Lineage: Eukaryota; Metazoa; Chordata; Aves; Columbiformes; Columbidae. The record is from RNAcentral.
CAAGACGUAGCUAUAACGAAAGCAUUCAGCUUACGCCUGAAAGAUGCCUGCCACUUAUCAGGUCGUCUUGA